AUAUAUAGUACACAUCCAGAUGUGUGUAUAUUCAUACGUUAUGUAUGUACACACAGGGACCCGAAAUUUUCUAGUGUCCCCGCAAGAAAACCCAAAUCUGUUUAAAUGGAAUUAAUUCUAGGGAGCGGCAAUGUCUGGUGGCGAGGAGAGAAUAGGAGAAAAAUAAAGAAAAAAGGAGAGAAUAAAUAAAAGAAUACAUAAAAGAAAAGAAAAAAACUUCAAAAAACCCCCUUAAAAAACAAAGCAUUUAUUAUACACAAAAAAAUCCAAUAUGUUUCUCUGGAGUCAUUUUCCCAUCUUUGUCUAUUUUCUUUCAUUUCUCAAGCAUUAAAAUUUCAAAAAAAACUAAAGAGAUCUUCCUUGUAUUGGUCCCCGUCCCACCCACUCUAUAUUCCAUCAGAAGAUUUAAUUUAAUUUUUCCAAAUAUAUAUAUUUUUCUUUAAUCAACCCUAACAUAUUUCAUGCUGGACAGAGGUGUAUAUAUACGAUAUAUAUAUAUAUAUAUAUAUAUAUAUAUAUAUAUAUAUAUUUAUGGGUGUGUGAAAUCUAUGUCUAUUUCUUUAUGGUUCUAUCGGGGGUCUAAAAAUGAAACCUCAAAAAACUCCCUGCAUUUUUCAAUUCUUGUUCUCCUUGUCUUUUUUUGUUUCCCCCCCCCACCAUCUCUUGGAUAUUAUUUUCUGUAAGAAUUUAAUAUUUUUUCUAUCUAAAAAAACCAAAAAAAAAUCCCAAAAGAUCAAAGUUAGUCACUAAUUAUUUCGUAAAGUUGAAAUAUAACAAACCAAUUGCUCAACAACAUAACCUGAUCGAUCGAUCUAUUGAUCUAUCUAUAUAUAUAAACAUACAUACGUAAACAUACAUAAUGGUGUAUAUGUAUAAAUAUAUUAUAUACACACAAUGUUCAAAAUAUUGAAAUUGUUGCAUGCUGUGGUGUAUGUCUUGUAAAAAAAAUUGCCCUUGUAAAAAUCGUCAUUCUCUUCCUUAGGUUAGAAUUUGCAUUUACCGAAAGAGAAAGGAGGAAUAAUAAGUAAAAACAAAAAAUGAAAUAUAAUAAUUAAAAAAAAAUACUAAUUCUUCUUUCCUCCAUUUUUAGUAAGAACCCCCACUCCCAGCCAAAUUCCAUUCAAGAAUGUCUCGGAAGUUCCUAUAUUUUUGAUUUAACCUCCUUCCCCUUCUGGAUUCCUCUGUAUGGAUGUCUGUCAUAAUUUCCAAACUCUUUCUCCAUAUAUUCAAUCUCGGUAAUUCCACCGUUUUCUCCAUUUAUUUUUUUCCUGUCUUCUGAAAGAAAUAUUCCUAACAGGCAGCAGAAAUAUUUUGCCUUGCUCUCACCCUCAACCUCUUCUACAUAAAAAAAACUCCCCCUCUUGUACCUUACCAUUUUGUGAGCUUAAGAUCCAAAGCUCCCUCACUCCUUUUUUUCUUUCCAAUUCUGUUAUUUCUCUGAAUUCCAUUUCUAGAAUUCUACUGCUGUUGCUUCAUUUAUAAACUGGUUUUACCGGUUCCUUUACCAAAAGUGAGCAAAAGAACCCCUUUCCCUCAAAAAAAAAAAAGAGCAAAGCCUCUAACAUGGCACCUGUCUGUCUCAAAGUAUUUUAUUUUGGCAUCUAUUCUUGCAAGCAAGCACCUCAACUCACCUGCUCACUCCAAAGUUAAUAUUUUAUUAUUAAGGUAUAUUCUUUUUUGUUUGUUUCAAAUAAUACAUUCUUUGGAAAAAAGAAUGGUAAACAAAGAAAUUGGUCUGGGAAUCAUAAUUAUUGGUUUGGAGGAAGAAAUCUGUCUCCCAUCUCUUUGAAUACACACACAUACAUAAGUGUGUUUGUGUAUGUGUGUAUGUAUAUAUAUGUAUAUGUGUGUAUUUAUAUAUGUAUAUAUAUGUAUAUGUGUGUAUUUAUAUAUAUGUAUUUAUGUGUAUGUAUAGUAAAUACAUCAAAGUACUUGCAAGUGAUCUUUCUUUCAUUUAAUAUUACAAAGAGUAAGAGGCAAGCUCUCGGCAAGUAGUGUCUUGGGUUCAAUUCCUACCAGUGGAAACCAGGUUUGCUGGUGUUUUUUUUCCGUUUUUUUUUCUUCUUUUUUUUAAAAUUUAAAACAAAUAUUUUUUACUUGCACUGCUAUUGCCUUUUUUGUGAAGGGGGCAUGAACAUCACAACACUUUACAAACUCCUUUUUUUUUGCUUUUCUGUAUUUGAGAGCCUUGCCUUGCUGAUUGGCUGUCCAUCAUUGGAUUAUAACACCUGACCCCCUUGUCCCUUUCUUGCAACUUAACCUUUGUUCAAAACUAACAAUAAUAACAAUAUUUGUUUCAUCCUCUCUCUCUCUCCCCCUCUUCCCCACCCUUCACUUUUAGCCAGGAGAUAAUUAUUCUUAUUUUGCCUUACCUUUUUUCUUUCCAUAAUUUUCAUCUUGAUUUAUUAUUCAUCAUGAAAUAAAACAUUUAAAUAUAUUCAAACACAAAACCCUAACUGACAUUUUUUUUUUUCCAAUUUUUUUUUUCCCUCUUCCCAUCAUUGUGUUUUGGCAAUCAAUGUUAUGACUGUUAAAUAAUUAUGUCCUUUUUUUUUUUUUUCUUUGCUCAGUUGGCAUUUACAAAAUAACAAAAUGGAAAAAUAUAUUUUUAUUUUUUAGGAUAUAAAAAAAAAAAAAAACUUUAAACUAUCCUAACCUAAUUCUGCUUCUUAUAAUAUUAGAAAUGUUAGAUAUGAUUAAUAAAGUGUCUCUCUCUCUCUCUCUUUCUCUUUUUCUGACAUUGUUCAUUUUGUGUUUGUCGUUUUAGCAACAUCUUGUUCUUUACUACAACAUCUCUUCUUUCUUUGGUUGUUCAACUCAAACUAUAAACCUAAAUUUAAGAAAAAAGCAAAAAAAAUAAAGCCAAAAAACCCCCCAAAAUCUCAUACCAGUCGUUUCAUAUAAACUUGAUUGCUAAUAUUUUUCCAAUCAGAAAAUCCGAGUUCCUACCAAAAGUGGCUGGUGAGUCUUCUCUACAAUGAAUGCUGUUCGGUUGGAUACUUGUAAUAUUUUCUGGUUGAAAGAUUCAUUGGUAACCAAGCUAAUAUAAAAUUGACUUUAGAGGUUUUGAUUUAGAUGCCAUUGAAGAAUAUAUUGUCCAUUUUCCCUGUGUCAAGCAGUUUCUUCUAAUUCAAUUUCUGCAAUGGAUGUCUAUAUAUAUAUUUACACACAUACAUACAAACUACAGAAAAGUGUAAUAAUGUUUGGAUUAUUAACCUUAAUUAGCAAUGGUUUACGACACAUUAUUAAUUAAUUAACGUGUCAAGCUAGCAGAAUCAUAAGCAGUAUUCUGUCCAUCUUUAUGUUCCGAGUUCAAAUGCUUCUGUGGCCGUUUUCAUCUUUUUAUCCUUUUGGGUCAAUGUAAUCAACUAAUCUGUCCCCUUAAUUUCAGGCCUAAUCCUUAUGAUAGGAUUAUUGGGACCUUAGCUUUUACUUUCAAAUUUAGUAUGAUGAGGGGGUGAUGUUUCCAACACACAUUUAAUUUGAACUUUUUCUUCAGUGGUGGUGGGCAGGUGAAUGUUUCUUGCAAUGGGGCCAAUAACAGCUCACCCAGACUUUCUCAAGCAUAUUUUUAUCUUGCAUCCUAUUUUGAGCUGUCCCCCCCCCCAAAAAAAAUGCCCUCACCAUGAGUGGCACAGUUAGUACAUAGUGUAUUUACUAAAGGAACUUUAAUUAAAACUCUGAGUUUUAUUCUCUCAAUGCUUACUUACACUCCAUUCUGUAGUAACCUCUGCCACCUCCAAAAUAGUGCCGCUUCCCACUAGAACAACACAUGCUUCGGACCUCGGAAAACUGAGCUAACUCUCAAUCAUUGUUCCUUAAAGCUAGGAAGUUGUAGAGUUUGGAUUUUCUUUCAUAUUCGGGGAUAUCUUUGAGAUAACUUUCUGUUCCUUCAAGAAAUCUAUAUUUAUACAUUCCUUCUCUCCCUGCUGCUCUUUUUCUUCUCUCUUUCUUUCACCCGCCAAUAAUCAGAUCGGAAGCUAUUAAAAGAAAGCACUCCAUUCUCUCCUUUCUGCAGUGUUUACAACAUACAUAUAUUUAUAAACUAUACAUGCAGUGUAUAUAUGCACAAACAUAGAUACUGGAAGUUCUUUUUAUUUUUCUUUGCUGCAGAGAUAAAGCUACUUGGCAAGUAAAAAGAUCUGGUUUCAAAUCUCAGUUGAAUCCAGGUUGCAGUGUAUUUUUUUAAAAACUUGCUCUGCUGUUGUCUUUGGGAAGGGGCAAUGGAUGAAUGUCCUACAACUGCAUUACAUUCCUUCUCUCGUGAACUUGUGGCUUUUACCUAAAAUAAAUAACCAACAUAUAUAUAUAUAAACAUUCCUACAUAUUCCACUGUCACAUGCAAUGUUAGAAGUUUAAAAAGAAUCCUGUUUUCCAUGCUUUCCCCCUCUUGCCUCAUAUCCAUAAAACCUAGCUCUAUGCGUGUGUGUGUGUGUUUGUGUUUUUCUGUGUGUCCCCUCAAAUCCUCCACACAUGCCAUUCACAAGAACACCCUUUGUAAUCUUAACAGCUUCUCAGAAAUGUUCCUCCCUCCCACAGACUUAUACCCCGCCCAACCUUCUAAUUCUAUGUGGUGCUAAGAAGUAAUUUGCCUUAAUCCAUCUGCGAUACAUACAUAUAUAAUAUAUACAUACAUGUGCGUGUGUAUAUAUUAUAUAUACAUAUAUAUACCCCUGCUUUGUUGCUGAAGUACAACUAAUAAUACUAACGUGGUUCACUUAUGUACUUAAUUAAUUUUCUGUAAGCCUUUGCAUGUGUUUCGAUUCCAAUAAAGUAUGCAUGUACAAGUAA
Octopus sinensis (East Asian common octopus) is the source of this 4791-nucleotide long non-coding RNA. RefSeq lists it as uncharacterized. The transcript has 2 exons. The record is from RefSeq and is a predicted model, not a curated record. NCBI's taxonomy places the organism in Eukaryota, Metazoa, Mollusca, Cephalopoda, Octopoda, Octopodidae.